RNAcentral lists this long non-coding RNA (1694 nucleotides) under Cricetulus griseus (Chinese hamster). RNAcentral's name for it is "lncRNA (ENSCGRG00015031156.1)". Lineage: Eukaryota; Metazoa; Chordata; Mammalia; Rodentia; Cricetidae. The record is from RNAcentral.
CUUCUGUGUAUAAUUUUAUUAGGGUGGCUAUGCCUGGGGGAAAUGCUACUUCCAAAGCUGUAGAAAUGACGAGAAAGAAGAUAGUCUUUGGCUUUGAGGUCCAUAUGUGUCAUUGCAUCAGUAACUGGCUGUUGAGCAACUGUGCCUCCCAGUGACUCAUGUGCUUCAAGUAGGCCAUUUGCUCUGGCGACCCAGAGAGACUGUAACCUAUUUUUCCAAAAGAAAAAAAAAAGACACAACACGAGAACAAAGAACAAAUAAUGGCAACUCAUUUCAAAGGCAUGUUCAUUCCUAAAACAGAUAUCCCAUUUGGGGCAGAGCACCAGAAGAGUGGCUUUGAACAAGCAUAACAUUUAUCUUGCCUGUGGAUUUUCAGCUUGCUGGAGGUAUGCUGGGAGCAUUUUGCGAAGCAGUAAAUGCAGAGUGGGGUUAUCUGCUGGAACACACUCCCCCCUUGUGUCUGGCAAUGGCCGCUGACUGUUGACUAGGGGCAGUGGCUGCAACACUGACUAGUGACCUUCCACACAACUAGUUGUCAUCUUCAUAGUAUGACAGCAGAGCUGCCAAUGUGACUGUUCCGAGGGACAGGUGGAUGCUCUAUUAACUAUUAGGACCUAGCAGAAGUCACUUGGCACCACCUCCUCCCCAUUUCUGUAGUCAAGGCAAUCAUGCUCAGACUCAAGGAGAAGGAAAACACUGGCCCCCUUGAAGCUUGUACCUGAGAAUGCUGUUUGUGUCCAUCAGGAUCCAGCCAAGAAAAGAACCCUUGAGGUCUUUUGAACAGAUGGAAUUUAACACAGAUAGAUGAUUAAAGGGUGAUAAGAAGCCAAAGCAGAAGCAACGAGGUGACCAGAGAAGGGGAACAGCUGUAAGAUGCUGCCUGCCUUCUUCCUGGGCCAGAUGAACAGUAAAAGAAGCAUGCCAUAGAAGCCAUUAUCUGACAGCAGCUGUCUGGACAGACUGACCAGUUAGGUUGGGAGCAGAAAAAAAAGAAGUCAGAAAUGGACCUGAAAGCCUAUAGGCACACACAAUAGGAGCACAAAUACCUUUUGGCUAAAUGAGUGAGAAGAGUCAUGGAGAAGGCUGGGUCCCAAACCUUAGAGAAACUCUUAUAGGAUUUCCUAUAAGAUACAGAGAUCUGGGGGAAAACAAGGGAGACCAACCUCCUGGAAGCCACAGCUCAAAAGCAAUGGGCUCUGCCAGAAUCCUGGCUAGGUUUCCAGCAGCUGGUCCUCUGAGUUAGUCACUGAAUCUUGACAGGAGACGCCAAGCACUCAUCCAUGAGCUGUGGGUAUCCAUAACUUCUAAUCCAGGAUCUUCCCUGGGUAACACGGCUUCUUAAGUAAUGAUAACAGUGCUUGCCAAUUUUAGGAAGGCAAGGUAAGAAGCAAUGAGUUAGAUGUUUAGAUACUCAGCAAAACAGAGAAAUGUGCUACAGCAGGAUGUUAAUUGACAAACUAGAGAUACGUGCACUUACUCUCACUUUGAAUUUACAGACUCCAUGGCAUAGCUUACAGGCACAAAUGAGAUAUAAUGCCUAUGUUAGUGGCAGCCCUGCUUUGCUGGGUAAAAGAAAACAAAGGUCUAAGUUUAGAGUUUAUCAAAAGAAACAAGGUAUGGAUUUUUUGAAAACAAUAACAUAGACUUCUUUGCGGUUUCUAUUUGUCUAUCUUAUAUAAUUUUAACUGAAUAAC